This 896-nucleotide long non-coding RNA is filed under the name Nicotiana benthamiana. RNAcentral's name for it is "long non-coding RNA (NBEN_LNC037777)". Lineage: Eukaryota; Viridiplantae; Streptophyta; Magnoliopsida; Solanales; Solanaceae. The record is from RNAcentral.
AGUUCCUUGCCUGUGUAAAGCUCCCAACUGCCGAAAGUUCAUGAAUUAGGUUUACACUUUCCACAAAUUUUUUUCCUACACAAGGAGAUCUAACCAUUACACCCUCACUGCUUGCUAAUUUUAGUGAUUCUAGAGGAAUAUGUAUUUAGUUUACAUUUCUUCCUUCCUAGUAGGGGGCUCUUUCCGUAGAUGGUUUGGGUCAAUAAUAUAGCUAUUACUUGACGAAAGUUGGGUCUGGGUUAUUAUGUAUAGAUUCAGAGAAGGCAGAUCUUUUUCUUCUAUUCUGCCGCUACAGAAAUGUAAACUUCACUUCUCUCUAUUUUUUUUGGGAGAUCAACAAAAAGAUAAGAAAAAAAAAGAUGCAAGCAAUUCCUCUUUUAUUUUCUCUUUACUCUACUGUUUUCAAUAUUCAUCCCGUCCCCUGACUUUAACUCCUCCAACCAAAAAGAAAUAGAAGGAAAAAAAAUGAUAUUUACGGUACCUUGUGGAUUAAUGGUCAAUGAAACGGACGUAAAAUAUAAGUAUCAAGGUUCAAAAUCAAGCGUAGACGAAAACAUCUUAGGAUAUAUUUAUAUAGAUCUGAACUUUGUGAAAGAAUUACCAUUUCCUUGUUCGUCGUCAUGAGUCAACUGAUUUAUGGAGCAAAUCUGAAGCUGUGACUUGGAGAUGAAAGGACUCUGUACUUGACUACCUGUUGUCGGCUAGCUACCCAACCUUCUCCUUCCCAACUGGUUUCUCCUGUUUGUAUUUUGUGACGUCCAGAUUUUGGGCAUGUCAACCAUUUCUCUACAUCAGAUUAACAGGUUUGAUGAAAAUGAUUUUUUUUUUGGUUGGUAACGAGAGAUCAGUCUAUUAUAGCAGACUUUUUUCCUUCUUUUACUAGCGAUUUUGUUAAU